CAUGUCUUUUUGAUAAUAAUUUAAGGUCUGACCUGCUCAAUGAAGUUUUAAAUUGCCGCAGUAUCCUGACUGUGCAAAGGUAGCAUAAUAAUUAGUUUCUUUAUUGGAAGCUGGAAUGAAUGGUUGGACAAGAAAGUUUCUGUCUCUUUAUAAUUUUUUUUUGAAUUUAAUUUUUAAGUUCAAAAGCUUAAAUUUUUUUAAAAGACGAGAAGACCCUAUAGAGUUUUAUUUUUCUUUAAUUUAUUAUUUUUAGGAAUUUAAUGUUUUAAUUUUUUGAGAAAUUUGGUUGGGGUGACUUGAAGAUUAAAUUAACUCUUUAAAUUAAAAUCAUUGAUUUGUGAAUUUUUAAUCUAUAUUUUUAAAUAUAAAUUAAAUUACCUUAGGGAUAACAGCGUUAUUUUUCUUUAGAGUUCUUAUUGAAAGAAAAGUUUGCGACCUCGAUGUUGGAUUAAAAUUUGCUUUUGGUGUAGGGGCUAAAAAGCUAAGUCUGUUCGACUUUUAAAAUUUUACAUGAUCUGAGU
Molecule: ribosomal RNA, 521 nt
Filed under: Lampyridae sp. UPOL RK0100
Lineage: Eukaryota; Metazoa; Arthropoda; Insecta; Coleoptera; Lampyridae
Description: partial 16S ribosomal RNA
Rfam family: Bacterial large subunit ribosomal RNA
Source: RNAcentral